RNAcentral lists this ribosomal RNA (459 nucleotides) under uncultured bacterium. RNAcentral describes it as "partial 16S ribosomal RNA". It matches the Rfam family "Bacterial small subunit ribosomal RNA", at positions 338 to 795 of the family's 1533-position model. The record is from RNAcentral.
CCUACGGGUGGCAGCAGUGAGGAAUAUUGGUCAAUGGGCGCGAGCCUGAACCAGCCAAGUCGCGUGAGGGAAGACGGUCCUAAGGAUUGUAAACCUCUUUUGUCGGGGAGCAAAAGACGCCACGCGUGGCGUUCCGAGAGUACCCGAAGAAAAAGCAUCGGCUAACUCCGUGCCAGCAGCCGCGGUAAUACGGAGGAUGCGAGCGUUAUCCGGAUUUAUUGGGUUUAAAGGGUGCGUAGGCGGAAGAUCAAGUCAGCGGUAAAAUUGAGAGGCUCAACCUCUUCGAGCCGUUGAAACUGGUUGUCUUGAGUGAGUGAGAGGUAUGCGGAAUGCGUGGUGUAGCGGUGAAAUGCAUAGAUAUCACGCAGAACUCCGAUUGCGAAGGCAGCAUACCGGCGCUCAACUGACGCUGAUGCACGAAAGUGUGGGUAUCGAACAGGAUUAGAUACCCGAGUAGUC